AUUGAACGCUGGCGGCAGGCUUAACACAUGCAAGUCGAACGAGUGGCGGACGGGUGAGUAAUGCUUGGGAAUCUAGCUUAUGGGGGGGGAUAACUACGGGAAACUGUAGCUAAUACCGCGUACAAUAGGAUGAGCCAAAGUGGGAUUAGGUAGUUGGUGGGGUAAAGGCUCACCAAGCCGACGAUCUCUAGCUGGUCUGAGAGGAUGACCAGCCACAUUGGGACUGCUACACGGCCCAGACUCCUACGGGAGGCAGCAGUGGGGAAUAUUUCGCAAUGGGGGCAACCUGACGCAGCCAUGCCGCGUGAAUGAAGAAGGCCUUCGGGUUGUAAAGUUCUUUCGGUAGCGAGGCGUUAACUACAGAAGAAGCACCGGCUAACUCCGUGCCAGCAGCCGCGGUAAUAC
Molecule: ribosomal RNA, 405 nt
Filed under: uncultured bacterium
Lineage: Bacteria
Description: partial 16S ribosomal RNA
Rfam family: Bacterial small subunit ribosomal RNA
Source: RNAcentral